GAUCCAGCCAUGCCGCGUGAGUGAUGAAGGCCUUAGGGUUGUAAAGCUCUUUCACCGGUGAAGAUAAUGACGGUACCCGGAGAAGAAGCCCCGGCUAACUUCGUGCCAGCAGCCGCGGUAAUACGAAGGGGGCAAGCGUUGUUCGGAUUUACUGGGCGUAAAGCGCACGUAGGCGGAUUUUUAAGUCAGGGGUGAAAUCCCGGGGCUCAACCCCGGAACUGCCUUUGAUACUGGAANUCUUGAGUAUGGUAGAGGUGAGUGGAAUUCCGAGUGUAGCGGUGAAAUUCGUAGAUAUUCGGAGGAACACCAGUGGCGAAGGCG
RNAcentral lists this ribosomal RNA (321 nucleotides) under uncultured bacterium. RNAcentral describes it as "bacterial SSU rRNA". It matches the Rfam family "Bacterial small subunit ribosomal RNA", at positions 385 to 723 of the family's 1533-position model. The record is from RNAcentral.